This 497-nucleotide ribosomal RNA is filed under the name uncultured bacterium. RNAcentral describes it as "partial 16S ribosomal RNA". It matches the Rfam family "Bacterial small subunit ribosomal RNA", at positions 28 to 507 of the family's 1533-position model. The record is from RNAcentral.
GACGAACGCUGGCGGCGUGCCUAAUACAUGCAAGUUGAGCGCUGAAGGUUGGUACUUGUACCAACUGGAUGAGCAGCGAACGGGUGAGUAACGCGUGGGGAAUCUGCCUUUGAGCGGGGGACAACAUUUGGAAACGAAUGCUAAUACCGCAUAAAAACUUUAAACACAAGUUUUAAGUUUGAAAGAUGCAAUUGCCUCACUCAAAGAUGAUCCCGCGUUGUAUUAGCUAGUUGGUGAGGUAAAGGCUCACCAAGGCGAUGAUACAUAGCCGACCUGAGAGGGUGAUCGGCCACAUUGGGACUGAGACACGGCCCAAACUCCUACGGGAGGCAGCAGUAGGGAAUCUUCGGCAAUGGACGAAAGUCUGACCGAGCAACGCCGCGUGAGUGAAGAAGGGUUUCGGAUCGUAAAACUCUGUUGGUAGAGAAGAACGUUGGUGAGAGUGGAAAGCUCAUCAAGUGACGGUAACUACACAGAAAGGGACGGCUAACUACGUG